UCUGACAUUCACCUAGCACGUGCGUUCCGUCACCUAGCAACGGUCAAACAGGAAGUGAUCAGAAGUGAGCGGCUGAGGGUGAGAAUGGUGAAGCAGACUAUACAGAUAUUUGCUCGGGUUAAACCAUCAAAUAAAGCAACCACGGUGUACUCUGUGGAUAAUGAGGAACAGAGCGGAUGCAGCCUGGAGUUCGUAGUUCCGAGGGAUCUUGCAGACGGCUUCAUCAAUAACAAGAGAGAGAGCUACAGAUUUCGGUUUCAGAAAGUUUUUGAUCAAAAUAUCAAGCAAGAGGAAAUCUUUGAGGCAAUUGCAAAACCUGUGGCUGAUAAUGUGCUGGCAGGAUACAAUGGCACCAUCUUCGCCUAUGGACAGACUGGCAGUGGAAAGACGUUCACCAUCACGGGUGGUGCUGAGCACUACUGUGACCGAGGAAUCAUUCCUAGAACUCUGUCCUAUCUGUAUCAGCAUUUCAACCAUGACAGAAGCAUGGUGUACACCACGCACAUAUCCUACCUGGAGAUCUACAAUGAGGUGGGAUACGACCUUCUGGAUCCACGGCAUGAAGCAUCCAAUCUGGAGGACUUACCGAAGGUGACAAUAAUGGAGGAUCCAGAGCAGAAUAUUCACCUCAAGAAUUUGUCAUUACAACCAUCAGCCAGUGAAGAAGAGGCUCUGAAUCUGCUUUUCAUGGGUGAUACCAAUCGUAUGAUUGCAGAGACCCCAAUGAAUCAAGCCUCCACACGCUCUCACUGCAUCUUCACCAUUCACGUGUGCAGCCGAGAGCCAGGAUCAGCCACAUUACGUCGCUCUAAGCUGCACUUGGUGGACCUGGCUGGCUCUGAGAGAGUGGGAAAGUCUGGUGUGGGAGGCCAUAUUCUCACUGAGGCCAAGUAUAUCAACCUGUCUCUGCACUACCUUGAGCAGGUCAUCACAGCUCUGUCAGAGAAGAAUCGCUCACACAUUCCUUACCGAAACUCCAUGAUGACCUCUGUGCUCAGAGACAGUCUGGGGGGAAACUGCAUGACCACCAUGAUCGCCAUGGUGUCAGUGGAAAAGAGGAAUGUUGAUGAAUCAAUUUCGACCUGCCGUUUUGCCCAGAGAGUGGCCAUGAUAAAAACAGAAGCUCACCUAAAUGAAGAGCUGGAUCCAUCACUUGUGAUCAUUCGCUUGAAGAAGGAGAUCCAGUGCUUAAAAGAUGAGCUAGCUCUGGUGACUGGUGAGCAAAGAUCUGAUGAGCUGACUCAAGAAGAAAUCCAGAGGAUUGAAGACCAGCUUAAGAUGUUUCUUGAUGACCCUGACCCUGAAGUAACUCUGGAACUCGGACCAGAUAUGAGAAAAAUCCGACACUGUUUUUCUCUCUUAAAGGUUAGGCUGAAAGAGAAACCAGCUGAGCUGAACAAGGGAGCUGGUGAUAUUAGUCCUCUUCCCUCUUCAAGAAGCAGAGAUGGUCCACAAAGCCCAGUCAACAAAGAUUUUCUCAAACUGAAGGACAUGCUAACACAGCGUGACAAUGAGAUCAGUAUUCUUGUGAGCAUGCUGAAGAAAGAGAAGCACAAGGUUCAAGAAGCCAAUGUUCAAAUAGCAAAAUUAUGCAGCUCCCAAAGCUCACUCCAAUCAUCAUCCUCUAGCACGGUCACUGAGAAAAAAAUAAAGCAAGAAGCUUCAGAGGACUCCACGCAUGCCGAACAUGUAAAGUGCAAGCGAAAUGGAGCAGAGCUGUCUAUGGGACGACAGGAGGCAUUUGAAAUAUUUAAGAAUGAGCAUGAGGAUAAUAUAACUCUAGAAGACAACAAGGUCAUUUUGAAACAGAGGUUUGCUGAAGCUAAGGAACUGGGUGUGCAGGUUAACCAGGCCAGGAGCAGAGUCAAUGAGCUGAAGAAGCAGCUGGAGACUAGAAGGAGGCAGAUUGCAGCACAGGGUGUAAUGGGAAACCAGCCAGGUACAGAAUUAGAUCCUGUAGAGGAACGACUCCGUAAACAGAUUGAAGAGGAGAAGAAACUAUAUAAGAGCACUUUUGAACGUUUAAAAGGCUUGAAGACCGAGAUCGAUCAUAUUCAGCACCUGCAUCAGAGGUCAAAGAUCAAACUGCAGAAAGAGUUCCAGGACUGGUGGACUCAGGAGGCAGCAAGCCUACAGCAGGAUAAAUGCUCAGCGAGUGCAAGAGCAGGGCAGAGCCAGGACAAUUCUCCUUGCCCUCCAUCAACCAGUUCAUUGCACGAACACCGUGUCGAUAACCAAGUCAGAGCACAAAGACAGAAGCCUAAUCCACCUACAAGAGAGCUCAGAGCCUUGUUCGCUGCUGGCCCUUCCUCAACAUCGAUCCCACUGACUGGAGACCAAGAGACCGAUGGCAAUAUAUUGGCCUUCAUCAAAGCCAGACAAAAUCUGCUCACCAGAACAGUGUCCGAUUCUGAUGGCGGCUCCUAAGUUACUGCUUAAUGGGUGACAAAUUCACAUGGAGAGGAAAAAAUUAACAACAAAACAAUUACCUCUUUUCUGUGGUUAUUGUCAAACUGAGAAGAGUUCUCCGUACUCAGCCACUGUAAAGGAGUGGCAAAGAAAUAAGGCUGAAACUAUUCGUUCACGGUGAACACAAUGUGCCGGGGUUUGACUAACAAAUGCGUUCCCUUGCAUUACAUCAGCAAAGUUCACAGCUAUCUACUGACUCUCAAAAGCUAUUUUGACUUGGACGGAAUUGAAGUUAGAAUAUACAUGAAGACAGUUAUUUCUAUAUUAUUUUUAGAACUCGUUCAUCUGAAGGACUUUACUUUAUUUCUGUCACUAAUGGCGAGUAACAUUCUGUAAAUGAGCUCGAAUAUCUCAGCAAUAGACAGUAGCUUAGCAGCAGCAUAUAUCACUGCUAAAGGCACUUAUCCGACCUGAGCAAAUGUUUUCACAAGCUAUCACACUGUACUAACUGGAUCGGAUGUCUGUCACCCUGCCAAGAUCUGCGACUUAUUUACUCGAGUCAUCAAACCAUAGAUUUUAUAGAUUUGUGUUGUCUUUUCCCAGCAGGUUGUUUAAUCGAUUUUUUUCCUCCCAUCUGCUCGGUAUAAAAUGAUUCCUGUAAAAUAUGAUUAGCACUUUCCUUUACAUGACUUGUUCCACUAUAAACUGCCUGUCAGAUGAAUUUGUACAAAUAAACAGACCUGCCAUUAA
Molecule: RNA transcript, 3159 nt
Organism: Tachysurus fulvidraco (yellow catfish)
Lineage: Eukaryota; Metazoa; Chordata; Actinopteri; Siluriformes; Bagridae
Gene: kif6
Gene name: kinesin family member 6
Exons: 23
Source: RefSeq, a predicted model, not a curated record